RNAcentral lists this ribosomal RNA (254 nucleotides) under uncultured bacterium. RNAcentral's name for it is "partial 16S ribosomal RNA". It matches the Rfam family "Bacterial small subunit ribosomal RNA", at positions 524 to 776 of the family's 1533-position model. The record is from RNAcentral.
GACGUAGGGUGCAAGCGUUGUCCGGAUUUACUGGGCGUAAAGAGCGCGUAGGCGGUCUGUUAAGUGAGAAGUGAAAUCUCCAGGGCUCAACCCGGAAACUGCUUUUCAUACUGGCAGACUUGAGGAAAGCAGAGGUUUGUGGAAUUCCUGGUGUAGCGGUGAAAUGCGCAGAUAUCAGGAAGAACACCCGUGGCGAAGGCGGCUCUCUGGGACGGUACUGACGCUGAGACGCGAAAGCGUGGGGAGCGAACAGG